RNAcentral lists this ribosomal RNA (465 nucleotides) under uncultured bacterium. Its description in RNAcentral is "partial 16S ribosomal RNA". It matches the Rfam family "Bacterial small subunit ribosomal RNA", at positions 338 to 795 of the family's 1533-position model. The record is from RNAcentral.
CCUACGGGGGGCAGCAGUAGGGAAUCUUCCACAAUGGGCGAAAGCCUGAUGGAGCAACGCCGCGUGGGUGAAGAAGGUCUUCGGAUCGUAAAACCCUGUUGUUAGAGAAGAAAGAGCGUGAGAGUAACUGUUCACGUUUCGACGGUAUCUAACCAGAAAGCCACGGCUAACUACGUGCCAGCAGCCGCGGUAAUACGUAGGUGGCAAGCGUUAUCCGGAUUUGUUGGGCGUAAAGGGAACGCAGGCGGUUUUUUAAGUCUGAGGUGAAAGCCUUCGGCUUAACCGGCGUAGUGCAUUGGAAACUGGGAGACUUGAGUGCAGAAGAGGAGAGUGGAACUCCAUGUGUAGCGGUGAAAUGCGUAGAUAUAAGGAAGAACACCAGUGGCGAAAGCGGCUCUCUGGUCUGUAACUGACGCUGAGGUUCGAAAGCGUGGGUAGCAAACAGGAUUAGAUACCCGAGUAGUC